GGCAGCUAUUUGAUCAAACGAUAAUCUCGGCUUACCACGAGAAUCCUGUUGGUUACCACCCGAAUUGCUAAGAUCAUCCAUUACAAUAUUGCCAAACCCUAGCAUCCGACACUAGAGAUUCAGCAAAACGUAUGCCGGCUGACCCAAUCAAAACAAUCAAACCCGUAGCCGCCGUCAAGCUGAAAUACGAACAAAACCAACCCUAGACUGAAUUAACGUUGAAAAAGGAUUACCGAAUCAGAAGAAGGCAGCCGUGACCCCUAGCCGCCGUCAAUCUUAAUCUGAAGCGCCGCAAACCCUAAACUGAAACGGACAAUGAGUUGAUCUUGCUGAAACCCUGAUGCAAAUCGGCAAUCCAAAGAAAGACGAUUAGGAAUGAGCAAAAUAGGGCUUCCAUGGUGGUGACUAAUGAUGAGAUUCAACUCAAAAAGUUAACUGAAACCUAAAGGUUAUAUGGUGGAGGUGGAGCAACUUGCUGAAAUUAAACAAAAACAAGAAGAUAAAUUAGCUGCAAGAUUACAUUCUUUUAGCCUUGCUAGUUUCUCUUCGUCAACCGUCUAUGUUUUGGGUAUUGGUUCGACCUGUAGAACAAUUGAUCAAAAAUAAACCACCUAAGAAUAUGUCCUCUCUUCUGCUGCUAUGGUUAUUUGACUGCAAUCUCCACUUAUGCAUGUUCAUUAUUACAAGACUAAAGGUACUAUCAUGACAAUCUCUAUUGAUUAGAUUUCUAUAUCUUUUUCUUAUGAUUGAUAUUGAUCUAUUAUAUAUAAUAAAUGAAAGUUUUUAGGGCUGAUGUGUCAUCGUUUUAGAGCUUCUUAGAUGCUUUUUGGCGGGAAAAUGUGUGGAUAUCUUUUAUGCUAAUAUGGGUUACACAGGAUCCGGAUUCUUGACCCGACUAUAUAUUGUUUUAAAUCACGAGCUAGGGUUUUGCUUCUCACUGCAAACACGAAUAAAAAAAUCCUAUCCCAAUCAUCUUCUCUAUGACAAACCCAUACCACGCACAACCCUUCGAUCAUUUGUGUUCUUCCUUCAAUACUCUCGGCGCCGCUAAUCUUCGAUCAACCAGGUUGAGGAUUUGCAGUUGUCUGUGUAUGUAAUCUACACAAUGUUGGUUAGUUUUUUUUUUUUUUAAUUUCGCUGAUACACUGUUUCACUCGACCUUCAUUCCCUGGAUCUCAUCAUCUGCUAUUUGUCUCCAAUCUAAUUAUCCAGGCUGGAUUUUGAAGGGGAUCCUAACAAAGGGAUUCUUUCAAGUUCGUCAAUUUUGAAUGAAAGUAAUAUAUCUAAUUUCUUGUCAGCAGAAAAAGAGAUGCAAGUUGAUUCUCUUAUUUGAUCUAAGCAUGGUGAAAAAAAGAAAUGUCUUUCUGUCUAAUAAGCAAAUCACUUAAAGGUAAAGACGGGUCGCAUGGGUUGAUCAAAAGUCCUGUUGUCUACAACUGUUGCUACAACCAAAAGGCCAAGGGAAGUUUAUGCGUGUGGCAGAGGAUCCAAAGAUUUCAUUUGCGCCAUCCUUUGUUCAAAUAAUUUUCACCAAAAUAAUUUUCACGAUUCCUUUAUUUUGGUGAAAAGUAGUUAACUUAAGCCUAGUUUGGUUUCCUCAUGAGUGUUACAAUUACGUUUAGUGUUAACAGUAAUUGUUGUAAAUUAAUGUAAGACGUCACGUAUUUUUCUAAUCUGGAGAAUUAGUUUGCAUCUGUUUUCUUGGAAACCGAGGGUUAUAGUUAUAUGAACCAUGCCUCUAAUAUGUUUUACAGAUUGUUGCUAUGAAAUAUACAGCUGUACUGUAUGUUAUUUUUAUGAAGUUUUUGUGCUUCCUAACUUUUCAUUGUUGUUUCGGUGAAGCUGGGAACUGAUGGUGCUUCUCAGCUGUCUAUGGCUUCAAGGCAUUCAGCCUUAUUGGGUAGCCGUUCAUCUGCUAGAGCUCAUUAUGGUGGUCAAUAUACUUCACAUGACAGUGUUCUGCAGGUCAGUGAACUAUUUGAUCAGUAAAAUGAGUUUUAGGGGCUGUUUGGCAACUUCUGAAUGAGUAAAUGUAAUUUGCCAUUUUAAAACUUUUGGUAAGUAGACCUCAAUUACUUUGCUAUAAAAAUGUGGGUCUGGUGUAAGGCAUUUUAGUAAAGUGAGUGUACAUACCACAUGGCUCACUUCUAUAAUUGUUUGUAAAUUACUUAUGCCAUUUUACAACUUAUUUUUUAAUUUAACCGUAUAAACUUUGGGUUUGUGUCAAAAGUAAGAACUUAAUACGUUAUUAUAAAUAUAAGUUUUUCUUUCAGGUUUGGCUAAAGCAUAUAACUAUCUUGCCGGCAUAUAUACUCAUGUGCUUGGAUUUUUGGAGUUGGCUUUUUGUUAAUAUUUUAUUUUGAGUGAAGAUAUAGAAGAAGUUGAAGCUGCUAAUAGAGUUGUUGUUGAAAGUUUCCAUAAAAUUUCAGCCUUUUGGUUAAACCAUAAGAUCAAACUCAAUACAAAAACUUGAUGGUCCAAAUAGGUGAGGAAUAAUGCUUAAAUUACUACUAUUAGCAAGCUUGGUUCUUGAUCAGGUUUGAGGUUUGAGACUGGACUGGUUCUAAACCAAAACUAGACCAGCACUAAACUGUUAUUGGGUUCAAUUCGCGGUUAUACAGUUUGGCCCGGUUCUGUUUUGCACCAAUAGACACUCUAACCUAUUGACUCUACAAUCCAAAACAAUUUGCAAUUCUUUUUACAGUCGAACUAAUAUCAUGAAGCAUAUAUUAUUCAGGUAAUAGGAAGAACAAGGGGGAUAUGUAGCUCCAGAAUACGUUCAAACUGGAUGUCUAAUGAUCAAGAUUGGUGUGUCAGUUAGAUGCAGCAAAGGACAUCAAGGUGCUGUUUAUUUUUUCUGAGGUAAAACGUCUGUAGUCUGCGGACCACAUCUGCAGACAUCUGUGGCAGAAGUGCUGGACCAAAUGUCUGCAAUCUGCAAGAAGAAGACUGUUUGUUUUUUUACUUCUGCAAACUGCUGAAAUAAGCUAAAAUAUAAAUAAACUGAUUAUUAAAGUUAUAAGAGUUUUUCAACAUUCAAACUUAAUUAAUAGUUAUACAAUACUGAAAUAAUAUUCAUAAAAAAGAUAAUAACAUUUUUUUAAAUCAUUGUAUCCAUGCUUUGCAUUAACUGCUCAGCAAUCUCAUCUCGUAACUGAGUCAUAUAUUCCCGAUCCGAUGCAGUACCAUGUGCUUCAACCUCCUCUUCAUGAGCAUCAACGUGCACUAGCCUAUUAUGAACUGAAACAUUGGGUUGAUCGUAUUCUGUAAACAAUUCAUCGCUAAAACCCUCUUUCCUUAUAAAAUUAUGUAGCGCGAAACAUGCAAUGGUAAUGUUCCUUUGUGUAACCAAUGGAAACAGUGCCAUCCUCUUUAAAAUAGGGAAUCUUGCUUUCAAGACACCAAAAGCACGCUCAAUUACGUUCCGAAGUCUUGCAUGAGCAUGGUUAAAUUUCUCUUUAUUAGUCAAUG
Long non-coding RNA from Helianthus annuus (common sunflower), 3471 nucleotides. RefSeq lists it as uncharacterized. The record is from RefSeq and is a predicted model, not a curated record. Lineage: Eukaryota; Viridiplantae; Streptophyta; Magnoliopsida; Asterales; Asteraceae. The transcript has 8 exons.